This 222-nucleotide long non-coding RNA is filed under the name Daucus carota (carrot). RNAcentral describes it as "long non-coding RNA (DCAR_LNC005571)". Lineage: Eukaryota; Viridiplantae; Streptophyta; Magnoliopsida; Apiales; Apiaceae. The record is from RNAcentral.
UUCGCAAGCCCGAGGAAAAGUUGAAGAAAAGUUCACAAGUCCUAUACAUGUAAGCAUUAAGUACAAGUAAACUCACAACAACUCAUCACAGAAAAUAUUAACAAUUAAUAUUAGUGAUCUACAUAUAAGCAUGCAAAAAUAUCACUAACACUAAAAGUAUCACAACUAUAUGCAGUUAGACAUGAAAUAAAAUAUCAAUUAAUAAAUCAUCAAAUAUCCAAC